This 254-nucleotide ribosomal RNA is filed under the name uncultured bacterium. RNAcentral describes it as "partial 16S ribosomal RNA". It matches the Rfam family "Bacterial small subunit ribosomal RNA", at positions 524 to 776 of the family's 1533-position model. The record is from RNAcentral.
UACGUAGGGUCCAAGCGUUAUCCGGAAUCACUGGGCGUAAAGCGUGCGUAGGCGGCGAUUUGCGUGAGAUGCGAAAUCCGGUGGCUCAACCAUCUGGACUGUAUCUCAUACGGGAUUUCUAGAGGACGGCAGAGGCAAGUGGAAUUACGGGUGUAGCAGUGAAAUGCGUAGAGAUCCGUAGGAACACCAAUGGCGAAGGCAGCUUGCUGGGCCGUAUCUGACGCUAAGGCACGAAAGCGUGGGGAGCGAACAGG